UCGUAUAGCUAUGGUGUCAUGGGCGGUGUCGAUUAUGUACCGGCAAAUUAUGUUCUUCAGACUGUCCUUAUGUACAGAUCGGCUGGUAUUAACAGGGCCAUGGAUGAUUGGGGUCGACUGAUGACAACAUAUUAUGGUAAAGAUGGUUCUUACAGACAAAGUGAUUUAACACUAAAUUAUAUAGGAUAUUGGACGGAUGGAGGUGCCUAUUACUACUAUAACGUUGAAACAAAUAAGGAUUAUGAACAGACUAUUUUAGACUGUGUACAGUAUGGAAGAGAUAUAAAUAUGCCUUACAGGUAUUUACAGAUUGAUUCAUAUUUCUAUUAUAAAGGACCGCAUGGUGGAGUGCAAACAUGGACACCGAUGCCC
Long non-coding RNA from Patella vulgata (common limpet), 372 nucleotides. RefSeq lists it as uncharacterized. The record is from RefSeq and is a predicted model, not a curated record. NCBI's taxonomy places the organism in Eukaryota, Metazoa, Mollusca, Gastropoda, Patellidae. The transcript has 4 exons.